Molecule: non-coding RNA, 25 nt
Filed under: Mus musculus (house mouse)
Lineage: Eukaryota; Metazoa; Chordata; Mammalia; Rodentia; Muridae
Source: RNAcentral
UGCAUAAUUCGUGGGCAUUCAGAUC